RNAcentral lists this ribosomal RNA (465 nucleotides) under uncultured bacterium. RNAcentral's name for it is "partial 16S ribosomal RNA". It matches the Rfam family "Bacterial small subunit ribosomal RNA", at positions 338 to 795 of the family's 1533-position model. The record is from RNAcentral.
CCUACGGGAGGCAGCAGUAGGGAAUCUUCCACAAUGGACGAAAGUCUGAUGGAGCAACGCCGCGUGAGUGAAGAAGGGUUUCGGCUCGUAAAGCUCUGUUGGUAGUGAAGAAAGAUAGAGGUAGUAACUGGCCUUUAUUUGACGGUAAUUGCUUAGACAGUCCCGGCUAACUACGUGCCAGCAGCCGCGGUAAUACGUAGGUGGCAAGCGUUGUCCGGAUUUAUUGGGCGUAAAGCGAGUGCAGGCGGUUCAAUAAGUCUGAUGUGAAAGCCUUCGGCUCAACCGGAGAAUUGCAUCAGAAACUGUUGUACUUGAGUGCAGAAGAGGAGAGUGGAACUCCAUGUGUAGCGGUGGAAUGCGUAGAUAUAUGGAAGAACACCAGUGGCGAAGGCGGCUCUCUGGGCUGCAACUGACGCUGAGGCUCGAAAGCAUGGGUAGCGAACAGGAUUAGAUACCCCAGUAGUC